This 491-nucleotide ribosomal RNA is filed under the name uncultured bacterium. RNAcentral describes it as "partial 16S ribosomal RNA". It matches the Rfam family "Bacterial small subunit ribosomal RNA", at positions 29 to 506 of the family's 1533-position model. The record is from RNAcentral.
AGUGAACGCUGGCGGUAGGCCUAACGCAUGCAAGUCGAACGGCAGCACAGUAAGAGCUUGCUCUUACGGGUGGCGAGUGGCGGACGGGUGAGGAAUACAUCGGAAUCUACUUUUUCGUGGGGGAUAACGUAGGGAAACUUACGCUAAUACCGCAUACGACCUACGGGUGAAAGCAGGGGAUCUUCGGACCUUGCGCGAUUGAGUGAGCCGAUGUCGGAUUAGCUAGUUGGCGGGGUAAAGGCCCACCAAGGCGACGAUCCGUAGCUGGUCUGAGAGGAUGAUCAGCCACACUGGAACUGAGACACGGUCCAGACUCCUACGGGAGGCAGCAGUGGGGAAUAUUGGACAAUGGGCGCAAGCCUGAUCCAGCCAUACCGCGUGGGUGAAGAAGGCCUUCGGGUUGUAAAGCCCUUCUGUUGGGAAAGAAAAGCAGCAGGUUAAUACCCCGCUGUUCUGACGGUACCCAAAGAAUAAGCACCGGCUAACUUCGU